GCCUACCAUGCAAGUCGAGCAGUAGCACAGAGAGCUUGCGCUCGGGUGACGAGCGGCGGACGGGUGAGUAAUGUCUGGGAAACUGCCUGAUGGAGGGGGAUAACUACUGGAAACGGUAGCUAAUACCGCAUAACGUCGCAAGACCAAAGUGGGGGACCUUCGGGCCUCAUGCCAUCAGAUGUGCCCAGAUGGGAUUAGCUAGUAGGUGGGGUAACGGCUCACCUAGGCGACGAUCCCUAGCUGGUCUGAGAGGAUGACCAGCCACACUGGAACUGAGACACGGUCCAGACUCCUACGGGAGGCAGCAGUGGGGAAUAUUGCAGAAUGGGCGCAAGCCUGAUGCAGCCAUGCCGCGUGUAUGAAGAAGGCCUUCGGGUUGUAAAGUACUUUCAGCGGGGAGGAAGGCGAUAAUGUUAAUAACCUUGUCGAUUGACGUUACCCGCAGAAGAAGCACCGGCUAACUCCGUGCCAGCAGCCGCGGUAAUACGGAGGGUGCAAGCGUUAAUCGGAAUUACUGGGCGUAAAGCGCACGCAGGCGGUCUGUCAAGUCGGAUGUGAAAUCCCCGGGCUCAACCUGGGAACUGCAUUCGAAACUGGCAGGCUAGAGUCUUGUAGAGGGGGGUAGUAUUCCUGGUGUAGCGGUAAAAUGCGUAGAGAUCUGGAGGAAUACCGGUGGCGAAGGCGGCCCCCUGGACAAAGACUGACGCUCAGGUGCGAAAGCGUGGGGAGCAAACAGGAUUAGAUACCCUAGCUAGUCCACGCCGUAAACGAUGUCGAUUUGGAGGUUGUGCCCUUGAGGCGUGGCUUCCGGAGCUAACGCGUUAAAUCGACCGCCCAGGGAGUACGGCCGCAAGGUUAAAACUCAAAUGAAUUGACGGGGGCCCGCACAAGCGGUGGAGCAUGUGGUUUAAUUCGAUACAACGCAAAGAACCUUACCUGGUCUUGACAUCCGCAGAACUUACCAGAGAUGCUUUGGUGCCUUCGGGAACUGUGAGACAGGUGCUGCAUGGCUGUCGUCAGCUCGUGUUGUGAAAUGUUGGGUUAAGUCCCGCAACGAGCGCAACCCUUAUCCUUUGUUGCCAGCGGUUCGGCCGGGAACUCAAAGGAAACUGCCAGUGAUAAACUGGAGGAAGGUGGGGAUGACGUCAAGUCAUCAUGGCCCUUACAACCAGGGGUUCACACCUGCUUCAAUGGGUUAUCC
RNAcentral lists this ribosomal RNA (1201 nucleotides) under Klebsiella sp. RNAcentral's name for it is "bacterial SSU rRNA". It matches the Rfam family "Bacterial small subunit ribosomal RNA", at positions 46 to 1240 of the family's 1533-position model. The record is from RNAcentral. Lineage: Bacteria; Pseudomonadati; Pseudomonadota; Gammaproteobacteria; Enterobacterales; Enterobacteriaceae.